AUACUUACUCUGGCAGGGUGAUACCAGAUCACACAGGUGGUUCUGCCAUCCGGCGAGGCUUGUCCUUGCACAUCGGACUUGCUGGCAACUCGGUCAUUCGACAACGUUCGAAUCUCACUGCACAAAUUUCUGGUAGCUGGGGGCGGACUGCGUUCGCGCUCUCCGCUG
Molecule: small nuclear RNA, 168 nt
Filed under: Neogobius melanostomus (round goby)
Lineage: Eukaryota; Metazoa; Chordata; Actinopteri; Gobiiformes; Gobiidae
Description: U1 spliceosomal RNA (ENSNMLG00000021423.1)
Rfam family: U1 spliceosomal RNA
About the family: U1 is a small nuclear RNA (snRNA) component of the spliceosome (involved in pre-mRNA splicing). Its 5' end forms complementary base pairs with the 5' splice junction, thus defining the 5' donor site of an intron.
Source: RNAcentral